This 114-nucleotide ribosomal RNA is filed under the name uncultured bacterium. RNAcentral's name for it is "partial 16S ribosomal RNA". It matches the Rfam family "Bacterial small subunit ribosomal RNA", at positions 1369 to 1482 of the family's 1533-position model. The record is from RNAcentral.
CGUUCCCGGGUCUUGUACACACCGCCCGUCACACCACGAGAGUUUACAACACCCGAAGUCGGUGGGUAACCCGCAAGGGAGCCAGCCGCCGAAGGUGGGUAGAUGAUCGGGGUG